CGUUUACGUUCGGUAAGGAUCGGGUGCACAAAACGUCUGUGCUUCAUAGUAAUCAACUGAAGUAAGACACGAUGAUGAUGAUGCACUCUCACACUUUUUUGCUUCUCUUAUGAUUUCCGCGUUGGCCGUCCUUUAAAAUUUAGCGUUACAACAGGUAAAGAGUGCGGCUAGAAGUGCAAACUGAUUCUUUUUCGGAUGCUGGAAGACAUGUGUACAGCACUUUAAGAAGGUUUGGAGCUAAGAAUAUUGAAGCAGGUGUGGGAUGCGGAGUCGGCUUUGG
This is a long non-coding RNA of Papaver somniferum (opium poppy), 280 nucleotides long. RefSeq lists it as uncharacterized. The transcript has 3 exons. Lineage: Eukaryota; Viridiplantae; Streptophyta; Magnoliopsida; Ranunculales; Papaveraceae. The record is from RefSeq and is a predicted model, not a curated record.